Molecule: long non-coding RNA, 182 nt
Organism: Sapajus apella (tufted capuchin)
Lineage: Eukaryota; Metazoa; Chordata; Mammalia; Primates; Cebidae
Exons: 4
Source: RefSeq, a predicted model, not a curated record
CUGGGUUAGUUUUUGAAUUCUGAGGUCUAACUUGAUUGUGCUGUAGUCUGAGAGAUUGGUUAUCAUGAUUUCAGUUCUUCUGCAUUUGCUGAGGAGUAUUUUAUUUCCAAUUAUGUGAUUAUUUUAGAGUAUGUGCAAUGUGGUGAUGGAAAGAAAGUAUCUUCUAUUAUUUUUGGAUAGAG